GUUAUACAAAUAAUGCAAAUAAAUUUUAUUAGUUUAAGUAAAAUUUAAUUUNAAAAAAUAAAAGUAAUUUUAUUAGGUGAAAUUUUAAAAUUAUUUAAUUUUUAUUUUGAAUUAUUGAGGCUUAAAAAUUUUAUAUAAAAACUAGGAUUAGAUACCCUAUUAUUUAAAAUAUAUUUAUUUAUACUAAAGUAGUAUUAGUUAUGUUCUUGAAAUUUAAAAAAUUCGGCGGUAUUUUAGUCUAUUUAGAGGAAUCUGUUCUAUAAUCGAUAAUCCACGAUGGACCUUACUUAUAUUUGUAUUCAGUUUAUAUACCGUCGUUAAAAGAAUAUUUUUAAAAAAUAAUAAUUUUCAAUAUUUUUUAUUAAAAUUUAUAUCAGAUCAAGGUGUAGCUUAUGUAUAAGAAGAAAUGGAUUACAAUAAAUUUAUUUAUGGAUUUGUAAAUGAAAAUUUAUAAUAAAAUUGGAUUUAAAUGUAAAAUUAUAUAGAUUAAUAAUUUGAU
This 499-nucleotide ribosomal RNA is filed under the name Nemorimyza posticata. RNAcentral describes it as "partial 12S ribosomal RNA". Lineage: Eukaryota; Metazoa; Arthropoda; Insecta; Diptera; Agromyzidae. The record is from RNAcentral.